Long non-coding RNA from Neodiprion fabricii, 894 nucleotides. RefSeq lists it as uncharacterized. The record is from RefSeq and is a predicted model, not a curated record. Lineage: Eukaryota; Metazoa; Arthropoda; Insecta; Hymenoptera; Diprionidae. The transcript is spliced from 4 exons.
UUUCCUGAGGAUGGUCGGCAGGGCCCGGCCGAAACGUCGAUUUUGUAUAUUCACGUUUUUCAACUAUUAAAUUCUUCUUCUUCCUGACCGGAACUUCGACGAACCUUUCAUUUUCAAUCUACCUCCCGGUCACAAACUUCUUUCCUAAACACAAUGCAUCGAAACGGCUUCGUGGACGUCUCGUACCACCGUCAUCCUACGUCAUACCGAACUUCAAAUCACUCACAAACCAAGAAGAUCUGGAACUACCGGCAAAAACUAGCACGCAUCAAAAACCAUUUUAUUUCCUGAGGAUGGUCGGCAGGGCCCGGCCGAAACGUCGAUUUUGUAUAUUCACGUUUUUCAACUAUUAAAUUCUUCUUCUUCCUGACCGGAACUUCGACGAACCUUUCAUUUUCAAUCUACCUCCCGGUCACAAACUUCUUUCCUAAACACAAUGCAUCGAAACGGCUUCGUGGACGUCUCGUACCACCGUCAUCCUACGUCAUACCGAACUUCAAAUCACUCACAAACCAAGAAGAUCUGGAACUACCGGCAAAAACUAGCACGCAUCAAAAACCAUUUUAUUUCCUGAGGAUGGUCGGCAGGGCCCGGCCGAAACGUCGAUUUUGUAUAUUCACGUUUUUCAACUAUUAAAUUCUUCUUCUUCCUGACCGGAACUUCGACGAACCUUUCAUUUUCAAUCUACCUCCCGGUCACAAACUUCUUUCCUAAACACAAUGCAUCGAAACGGCUUCGUGGACGUCUCGUACCACCGUCAUCCUACGUCAUACCGAACUUCAAAUCACUCACAAACCAAGAAGAUCUGGAACUACCGGCAAAAACUAGCACGCAUCAAAAACCAUUUUAUUUCCUGAGGAUGGUCGGCAGGGCCCGGCCGAAACGUCGAUUUUG